Drosophila subobscura is the source of this 694-nucleotide long non-coding RNA. RefSeq lists it as uncharacterized. Lineage: Eukaryota; Metazoa; Arthropoda; Insecta; Diptera; Drosophilidae. The transcript is spliced from 4 exons. The record is from RefSeq and is a predicted model, not a curated record.
UAUCAAUUGUAAAUCCCAAUAUAUGCUCGUUCGUUUUUCGGCUCUCGUUCAGCCAACAAUAAAAAUUCUAUUUUCGGAAAAAGUAUUAUGAAAGUUUGAGUUUAAAAAUAAAAAAGUGUGCAUUAAAUGACGCGAUUUAAAAUUGUGUUUGUGAAAAGGUUCACAUGUGUACAAAUUAUUUUUCUUUAAUCCUAAUUCCAAUGAUGGCCAAAAGUAUCCACCACACCACACGAAAUGUUACUAUAUUAUUGAACUGCCUAGUACUCGUAUGUGCAUAAAGGAUACACAAACUAUCCAUCGUUAAGCAUAUUUACAGACUUAAAUCAAACUGGACACACUGGAUUGAAAUCAAUAGAUGAUUCCUAAAGGAUGCGUACACUUUUACGUUAUUCCAGACACGCAAAAUCACUGGAUUACAACAAAUGGACGAUGAGUCAGCUCCAAUUCCUAAAGGAUCCUUGUUCAGCCAUAAGUUUUGGGAUUAGGGUAUCAAAAUAUCAAUAUACUGAACCACAAUAAUGAUUUUUAUCGAUACAAUUGAAAGAAAGCUAAACUUCUACACAAUGGUUUUUGUUAUAGUUUAUUCAAAAUAAUACCAUUCGCAAGGGACAUGCUGGAAUUAGCUAAAAUAAAUUCACACGCAACAAAUACUGAAUAAAAUAGAUGACUGAUUGUGAUUUUUAUGUACACUGAA